GAAUAACCCACCUGGUGUCCCCAGGUCUAAAUCAGGCCCUGAUUAGAGGGGGAAUAACCCACCUGGUGUCCCCAGGUCUAAAUCAGGCCCUGAUUAGAGGGGAAUAACCCACCUGGUGUCCCCAGGUCUAAAUCAGGCCCUGAUUAGAGGGGAAUAACCCACCUGGUGUCCCAGGUCUAAAUCAGUCCCUGAUUAGAGGGGAACAGUGACGCUGGCUUGGAGCUCCAGGGUCCUAGAGGUCAUAGCUGUUCUACAUGUUAUUCUAUGGGCUUUAAUCAGUCAGGAUCGGCUGCUUUCAUCUCCAGUGUGUUUUGCUGUACAGCAGGUUUCUCAAACUCGGUCCCGGGGUCCCCUCUUGGGUACAACGUUUUGGUUGUUGUCCUAGCACGACACAGCUGACUGAAAUUACAACUAAAACAUGUACACACACACACACACACACACACACACACACACACACACACACACACACACACACACACACACGUGUGUCUGCCCUUGUAUGGGCGGUGUAGUGUCUAUAUAUAAGGGCUAAAGGAGAUCUGUUGGAUCAUGUAGCAACAACCAGCUUAUAAAAGUCAAUGAAUCAUGUUGAUGUUACAGGUCCUCUCUGCACCUCCACUUCAUGUUGAUGUUACAGGUCCUCUCUGCACCUCCACUUCAUGUUGAUGUUACAGGUCCUCUCUGCACCUCCACUUCAUGCUGAUGUUACAGGUCCUCUCUGCACCUCCACUUCAUGUUGAUGUUACAGGUCCUCUCUGCACCUCCACUUCAUGCUGAUGUUACAGGUCCUCUCUGCACCUCCACUUCAUGCUGAUGUUACAGGUCCUCUCUGCACCUCCACUUCAUGUUGAUGUUACAGGUCCUCUCUCCCACCUACACUCCUGUCCACAGAAAAAUAGCUUUCAUCACAGAUCACCUCGUUAGAUCAUUGAGCUGAGCCAGAGACUGGGCUAUCUCUCUGCUAAAUCACAAUGUUUAUUAAAUCAAUGUUUACAGAGUGUUUAUCUCUCGUUAUCGCUCCCUGUUGGUAUGUGGUGGGGGGAGGAGAAGAGAGAGAGAAAGAGAGAGAGGGAGAGUGCAGCUCUUUAACACUAAUGUGGGUAUAUCUCUGUCGUUUACCAGCAGCCUGGGGAGGGAGGGAGGGAGGGAUGUUGGAAGCAGCCUGGGGAGGGAGGGAGGGAGGGAUGUUGAAAGGCGAGAGGAAAGAAGUAGCACAUGCCACACCUCCCUGUCACUCAGCGGUCGCUAUGGAGCCUGCCGUGGUUGCCGCGGCGUCGUCAGGGAGGGGCAGUAGGAGAGGUUAAAGGAGACAGAGGAGUGACAUCAUCUGUCAGCUCCAGUGCUUUAUCGUUGAGGUGAGGCGUUCAGAACGUUGCAGAUAGAAAUAGAUUAACUAGAGCUGGAACGAGUCCCUGUUCUACAUAACAGACCUCCGUGUUUGUUCUACACAAUACAUUUCUACGUCCUGAGAUGGUGGAGGUUGAUAAUAGACAUUCUCUCUCUGUCAAGGGGCUUUAUUGGCACGGGAGAACAUGUUUACAAGUGAAAAAAAAUAAUAAACAAAAGCGAGAAGACAAAACAUCAACAACCCAAAAAAAAAAAAAAACGAUUAGAAUUUAACAGUAAACAUUGCACUCCAAAAAAGGUUUUUACAAAAAUAUCAACAUUUCAAAUAGUCAAUGUUUGAUUUUAUUUAGAUUAUUAUUUUUUUUUUAUUUUUAUUUUUAUUUUUUCAAAUUCUUUGUGGUUCUGUGUGAAAUAUGUGUCUGUAAUUUGGUUACAUAUUUAGCAGGAGGUCAGGAAGUGCAGCUCAGUCUCUCACUCUCAGGGCUCUGGCAGACAAAGAUCACAAACACUGCUGAUACUCUUAGACACACAUAUUGUGUUAAUGGUGCUGUCACUACACACACACACAUGGACGGACGGACGGACGGACGGACGGACGGACGACGUGUAUGCAUCAGGUGCAUGUUCUAUGGCCCAGGUCACAGAGGUCAUAGUUCAGGGUUCAACCUCCUUUCAGUUUCUUCUGAACUCAAUGACACCGUCAGGGUUUUUAUUUUAUUUAACUUAUCCUGUACUUCUUCUUCCUUCUUUUUUUAGAUUUUUUUUUUAUAUAUAUAUAUAUAUAGAAAUGGGUUUUUAUAGCUAUUUGCUACUCAAGACGAGAGGUUUUUAAAAGCAUAAAUGAAGGUGACGAUGUGUAUGACGUAACGGUGGUGAUGUGGUGGUGUGUGUGUGUGUGUGUGUGUGUGUGUGUGUGUAUAGCGACACGGUGCUGUCGUAGGCUGUUUUCAGCAUGAUGGAAUCACAUUAAACUGUUUCAACACUGAGAUGAAGACCUACUGUUAAACCGACGAGCUGUAAUAAAAUAUUAACCGAA
Molecule: non-coding RNA, 2386 nt
Organism: Salmo salar (Atlantic salmon)
Lineage: Eukaryota; Metazoa; Chordata; Actinopteri; Salmoniformes; Salmonidae
Source: RefSeq, a predicted model, not a curated record